Molecule: ribosomal RNA, 468 nt
Filed under: uncultured bacterium
Lineage: Bacteria
Description: partial 16S ribosomal RNA
Rfam family: Bacterial small subunit ribosomal RNA
Source: RNAcentral
GACGAACGCUGGCGGCGUGCUUAACACAUGCAAGUCGAACGGAAAGGCCCUGCUUUUGUGGGGUGCUCGAUUGGCGAACGGGUGAGUAACACGUGAGUAACCUGCCCUUGACUUUGGGAUAACUUCAGGAAACUGGGGCUAAUACCGGAUAGGAGCUCCUGCUGCAUGGUGGGGGUUGGAAAGUUUCGGCGGUUGGGGAUGGACUCGCGGCUUAUGCGCUUGUUGGUGGGGUAGUGGCUUACCAAGGCUUUGACGGGUAGCCGGCCUGAGAGGGUGACCGGCCACAUUGGGACUGAGAUACGGAGCAGACGGCUACGGGAGGCAGCAGUGGGGAGUAUUGCACAAUGGGCGGAAGCCUGAUACAGCAGCGCCGCGUGCGGGAUGACGGCCUUCGGGUUGUGAACCGCUUUCGCCUGUGACGAAGCGUGAGUGACGGUAAUGGGUAAAGAAGCACCGGCUAACUACGUG